RNAcentral lists this ribosomal RNA (253 nucleotides) under uncultured bacterium. Its description in RNAcentral is "partial 16S ribosomal RNA". It matches the Rfam family "Bacterial small subunit ribosomal RNA", at positions 524 to 776 of the family's 1533-position model. The record is from RNAcentral.
UACGUAGGGGGCAAGCGUUGUCCGGAAUCAUUGGGCGUAAAGAGCGUGUAGGCGGCCUGGUAAGUCCGCUGUGAAAGUCCAGGGCUCAACCCUGGAAUGCCAGUGGAAACUGUCAAGCUAGAGUCCGGAAGAGGCGAGUGGAAUUCCUGGUGUAGCGGUGAAAUGCGCAGAUAUCAGGAGGAACACCAAUGGCGAAGGCAGCUCGCUGGGACGGUACUGACGCUGAGACGCGAAAGCGUGGGGAGCAAACAGG